Molecule: ribosomal RNA, 486 nt
Filed under: uncultured bacterium
Lineage: Bacteria
Description: partial 16S ribosomal RNA
Rfam family: Bacterial small subunit ribosomal RNA
Source: RNAcentral
AUUGAACGCUGGCGGCAUGCUUUACACAUGCAAGUCGAGCGGCAGCGCGGGGGUAACCCUGGCGGCGAGCGGCGAACGGGUGAGUAAUGCAUCGGAACGUAUCCGCGAGUGGGGGAUAACCCAGCGAAAGGUGGGCUAAUACCGCAUGAGCCCUGAGGAGGAAAGCGGGGGACCUGCGGGGCUCUCGCGCUGGGAGAGCGGUCGAUGGCCGAUUAGCUAGUGGGUGGGGUAAAGGCCUACCAAGGCGACGAUCGGUAGCUGGUCUGAGAGGAUGAUCAGCCACACUGGAACUGAGACACGGCCCAGACUCCUACGGGAGGCAGCAGUGGGGAAUUUUGGACAAUGGGGGCAAGCCUGAUCCAGCCAUGCCGCGUGAGUGAAGAAGGCCUUCGGGUUGUAAAGCUCUUUCGGUCGGAACGAAGUGGAGGAGGCUAAUACUCCGGUCUGUUGACGUUACCGUAAGAAGAAGCACCGGCUAACUACGUG